Molecule: ribosomal RNA, 1235 nt
Filed under: metagenome
Description: bacterial LSU rRNA
Rfam family: Bacterial large subunit ribosomal RNA
Source: RNAcentral
UGAAUACGAGAUGCUAAGGCGUCGAAGUAGUGUAUGUCAUACUUCCAAGAAAAGCUUGCACUGUCAUAAAUAAAGAAUGCCUGUACCAUAACCGACACAGGUGGGUAGGUAGAGUAUACUAAGGGGCGCGAGAUAACUCUCUCCAAGGAACUCGGCAAAAUAACUCCGUAACUUCGGGAGAAGGAGUGCCUUAUUCGUAAGGCUGCAAUAACAAGAUCCAAGCAACUGUUUAUCAAAAACACAGGUCUCCGCUAAGUCGUAAGACGAUGUAUGGGGGCUGACGCCUGCCCAGUGCCAGAAGGUUAAAGAAGUUGGUUAGCAUUAGCGAAGCUGAUAACUGAAGCCCUGGUGAACGGCGGCCGUAACUAUAACGGUCCUAAGGUAGCGAAAUUCCUUGUCGGGUAAGUUCCGACCCGCACGAAAGGCGUAAUGAUUUGGAUACUGUCUCGGAGAGGGGCUCGGUGAAAUAGACUUGUCUGUGAAGAUGCGGACUACCUGCACCAGGACAGAAAGACCCUAUGAAGCUUUACUGUAACUUGAAAUUGAAAUUGGACUUUAGUCGCGCAGUAUAGGUGGGAGGCUUUGAUGAUACUCUUGCGGGAGUAUUGGAGCUAUCAGUGAGAUACCACUCUUCUAAUGUUAGAUUUCUAACUUUGAACCAUUAUCUGGUCAGAGAACAGUUUCAGGCGGGCAGUUUGACUGGGGCGGUCGCCUCCUAAAUGGUAACGGAGGCGUACAAAGGUUUCCUCUGAACGGGUAGAAAUCGUAUCUAGAGUGUAAAGGCAUAAGGAAGCUUGACUGUGAGACCUACAAGUCGAACAGGGACGAAAGUCGGUCUUAGUGAUCUGACGGUACUGAGUGGAAAGGCCGUCACUCAACGGAUAAAAGUUACUCUAAGGAUAACAGGCUGAUCUCCCCCAAGAGUUCACAUCGACGGGGAGGUUUGGCACCUCGAUGUCGGCUCAUCGCAUCCUGGGGCGGUAGUACGUCCCAAGGGUUGGGCUGUUCGCCCAUGAAAGCGGUACGCGAGCUGGGUUCAGAACGUCGUGAGACAGUUCGGUCCAUAUCCGGUGUAGGCGUUAGAAUAUUGAGAGGAGCCUUCUUUAGUACGAGAGGACCGAGAAGGACAUACCUAUGGUGUACCAGUUAUCGUGCCAACGGUAAACGCUGGGUAGCUAAGUAUGGAGUGGAUAACCGCUGAAAGCAUCUAAGUGGGAAGCCCACCUCAAGAUGAG